AUUAAACGCUGGCGGCAUGCCUUACACAUGCAAGUCGAACGGCAGCACGGGGGCAACCCUGGUGGCGAGUGGCGGACGGGUGAGUAAAGCAUCGGAACGUAUCCUGGAGUGGGGGAUAACGUAGCGAAAGUUACGCUAAUACCGCAUAUUCUGUGAGCAGGAAAGCAGGGGGAUCGCAAGACCUUGCGCUCUGGGAGCGGCCGAUGUCGGAUUAGCUAGUUGGUGGGGUAAAGGCCUACCAAGGCGACGAUCCGUAGCGGGUCUGAGAGGAUGAUCCGCCACACUGGGACUGAGACACGGCCCAGACUCCUACGGGAGGCAGCAGUGGGGAAUUUUGGACAAUGGGCGGAAGCCUGAUCCAGCCAUGCCGCGUGAGUGAAGAAGGCCU
RNAcentral lists this ribosomal RNA (388 nucleotides) under uncultured bacterium. Its description in RNAcentral is "bacterial SSU rRNA". It matches the Rfam family "Bacterial small subunit ribosomal RNA", at positions 29 to 417 of the family's 1533-position model. The record is from RNAcentral.